GACCCGAGUCCAAGGCGGUGGCCCCUAUCUAUACUUUCUGUGAGGAAAGCACUGUGUUACCGGAUGUGUGUGUGUGUGUAAUGUGUGAUGCAGCCUGAAGCCCUACAUAUGAAAUCAAUAAAGGGGAAUGGAACCAUUUCUUUCAGAAGAUCCCCCGGACUCCCUUCGACCCCAGCGCCCCAUAGCACUGCAGUCGGCGUUCAGUCCACUGGGCGGUGGCUCCAAGCGUUUACCUGUGCUCCCCACCAGCGCUGUGGGCCUUUCCUCACAUCCUGGGCCUGUCUGUCCCCUUGGCCGCGCAGGGCAGAUCCUCGGGGCAGUUCGCCUGCUGUGCACAGGUUCAGCGAGAAAAGGAACCUCAUAAUCAACCAUACAUCUGUAAUGCCUCUUACAGUGUGUGAUGUCUCAGCCAACCGUUACCACUGACUUCCAUGGAUUACGGUACCUGCCACUCUGGCUUCAUUCUAACGUAUCUGAUGGCCGGAGCUUGAGCAGCCAGUGCACAGUGAGGAAGCUGUGAUGGAAGAAUAAGGUAAGAUGAACUUAGUUUUGAUUAGUUUGCCUUUGCAUGAGAAAUUAAAAAUCU
This 586-nucleotide long non-coding RNA is filed under the name Canis lupus familiaris (dog). RNAcentral describes it as "lncRNA (ENSCAFG00000057033.1)". The record is from RNAcentral. Lineage: Eukaryota; Metazoa; Chordata; Mammalia; Carnivora; Canidae.